GAUUAGUGGACUAAAUUGGACGAAAGAAAAGUUAGAAGUUAGAGGUUGAGGAGGUGGCAAACUCAAGGACUAAAGGAGACUUUUGUCUCAUUUAUCUAAGCCACUUGCAUAUGAGUUUAAACUCAGCAAGCUUAUCAUUUUCAGCUCCCAAAUUUCGUACUCCAUCCUUUCUCCAUGGAAGAUCAUCAACCAAAUUUCAAAGGAGCAUAACUUCUUCGUUUCUCAACGAAAUUGGACGAUUCUUGUGGCCACGGAACGAGAAGAAGGAGAGCUACUGAUCUAGCCCUAUUGUUCAAGGUGUUCUUGAGUUGAAUUGAAGCAAAGUUGAUGGUGAAUUUGAGCUUGAAGUGUUUGGCCAUGAUCAACAAUCCAAGACUCGACGAAGCGACUAUCGACAAGGCUUGAGGGGAACGGAUCGAGAUGUCUUCGUGUUUAUUUAAAGAUUAUGGAUAGCAAGUGGGAUAGCAUGAUAUGAUUUGAAAAGUCAAGCUUCCGAAGUUUUAAUUCUCGGAAGUCAUUUGCACAAGAAGUGAAAGAAGGUUUUCAUUCUAGCGGUCCGCAGUAGUCUAGAUGUUUUUGUCUAUGUAUUUGUACAAUGCGUUUUAACUCUGAUGUUUUUUGUAAAAUUGGGUCACAUGUAUUUUGAUAUAUAAAAUAUGAUAUGAUUUGCGAAAA
Mercurialis annua (annual mercury) is the source of this 675-nucleotide long non-coding RNA. RefSeq lists it as uncharacterized. The transcript is spliced from 4 exons. The record is from RefSeq and is a predicted model, not a curated record. Lineage: Eukaryota; Viridiplantae; Streptophyta; Magnoliopsida; Malpighiales; Euphorbiaceae.